AACGCGAAGAACCUUACCAGUCCUUGACAUGUCCACUAUGGGUUUGAGAGAUCAGAUCCUUCACUUCGGGUGGGUGGAACACAGGUGCUGCAUGGCUGUCGUCAGCUCGUGUCGUGAGAUGUUGGGUUAAGUCCCGCAACGAGCGCAACCCUCAUCUUCAGUUGCCCCCGGGUAAGGCCGGGCACUCUGAAGAAACCGCCGGUGACAAGCCGGAGGAAGGCGGGGAUGACGUCAAGUCCUCAUGGCCCUUACGGACUGGGCUACACACGUACUACAAUGGUGGUGACAAUGGGCAGCGAAAGCGCGAGCUGGAGCCAAUCCCCAAAAGCCAUCUCAGUUCAGAUUGCACUCUGCAACUCGAGUGCAUGAAGUUGGAAUCGCUAGUAAUGCUAUAUCAGAACGAUAGCGUGAAUACGUCCCGGGCCUUGUACACACCGACAUA
Molecule: ribosomal RNA, 442 nt
Filed under: uncultured bacterium
Lineage: Bacteria
Description: bacterial SSU rRNA
Rfam family: Bacterial small subunit ribosomal RNA
Source: RNAcentral